This is a non-coding RNA of Schistosoma margrebowiei, 45 nucleotides long. The record is from Rfam. Lineage: Eukaryota; Metazoa; Platyhelminthes; Trematoda; Strigeidida; Schistosomatidae.
AUUCAGAUGGUGAGUCCCAAAUAGGACGAAACGCGCAUCCUGAUU